RNAcentral lists this ribosomal RNA (506 nucleotides) under uncultured bacterium. RNAcentral's name for it is "partial 16S ribosomal RNA". It matches the Rfam family "Bacterial small subunit ribosomal RNA", at positions 28 to 523 of the family's 1533-position model. The record is from RNAcentral.
GAUGAACGCUAGCUACAGGCUUAACACAUGCAAGUCGGGGGGUAACAAGAGAAAAGCUUGCUUUUCUUGUUGACGACCGGCGCACGGGUGAGUAACGCGUAUCCAACCUGCCCCCAACUAGGGAAUAACCUUGCGAAAGUAAGACUAAUACCCUAUAAUUUCCUCAGAUGUCAUCUGACGAGGAAUAAAGAUUUAUCGGUUGUGGAUGGGGAUGCGUCUGAUUAGCUUGUUGGCGGGGUAACGGCCCACCCAGGCAACGAUCAGGAGGGGUUCGGAGACGAAGGUCCCCUACAGGGGAACGGAUACACGGUCCAAACUCCGACGGAGAGCAGCAGUGAGGAAUAUUGGUCAAUGGGCGGAAGCCUGAACCAGCCAAGUAGCGUGCAGGAUGACGGCCCUAUGGGUUGUAAACUGCGUUUAUACAGGAAUAAAGUUAGCCACGUGUGGUUAUUUGUAGGUACUGUAUGAAUAAGGACCGGCUAAUUCCGUGCCAGCCGCCGCCGUAA